RNAcentral lists this ribosomal RNA (1685 nucleotides) under Ambystoma mexicanum (axolotl). Its description in RNAcentral is "SSU rRNA". It matches the Rfam family "Eukaryotic small subunit ribosomal RNA". The record is from RNAcentral. Lineage: Eukaryota; Metazoa; Chordata; Amphibia; Caudata; Ambystomatidae.
UCUGUUUGAUCCUGCCGGUAGCAUAUGCUUGUCUGAAAGAUUAAGCCAUGCACAUGUAAAUACACACAGCCGAUACAGUGAAAUUAGUUAUGGUUCCAUGGAUCACUCCAUCUGUUAGUUGGAUAACUGUGGUAAUUCUAGAAUCAAUACAAGCCAACAAGCACUGACUCCUGGGAUGCAUGUAUUUAUCAGACCAAGACCAAUCCAGGCUCGUCCAGCUGCUUUGUGACCCCAGAUAACCUUCGGCCAAUUGCAGGUCCCUGUGAUGGCGAUGAUGCAUUUGGAUGUCUGCAUGGAGAUGAUACAUUUGGAUGUCUGCCCUGUCAAUGUUCAAUGGUACUUUCUGUGCCUUCCAUGGUGACAACUGGUAACUGGGAAUCAGGGUUCGAUUCCAUUGUUGAAACCUGAGAAACAGCUACCACAUCAAAGAAGGCAGCAGGCGCGCAAAUUACCCACUCCCAGGAGGCUGUGACAAAAACAAUUAUUUUUCCGAGGGCCCUUAAUUGGAAUGAGUACAUUUAAAAUACUUUAACGAUGAUCCAUUGGAGGGCAAUUACGGUGCCAGCAGUCACAGCAAUUCCAGCUCCAAAAGCAUAUAUUAAAGCAGCUGCAGUUAAAAAGGUUGUAGUUGGAUCUUGGGAUGGAGCAAGGCGAGUACCGCAUGUCAGUGUUCAAAGCAGGCCACUCACCUGAAUGCUUUAGCUAGGAAUAAUGCAAUAGGACAAGGGUUCUAUUUUGUUGGUUUUCAGAACUUAGACCAUGAUGUAGAGGGACUUUAGUUUAGUGCCGCUAUAUGUGACAUUCUUAGACCAGUGCAAGGUGAACCAAAGGGAAAGCAUUUGCCAAGAAUGUUUUCAUUAUCCAAGAAGGAAAGUCAGAGGUUUGAACAUGAUCAGAUAACUUCAUAUUUCUGGCCAUAAACAAUGUCAUCCACCGAUCCAAAGGUGGAUGACCCACCAAGCUGCUUCAGGAAAACCUAGACUUUGGGUUUCAGGGGGAAUAUGGUUGCAAAGCUGAAACUUAAAGGAAUUGACGGAAGGGCAGUACCAGGAGUGGAUCCUGUGGCUUAAUUUGACACAACAUGGGAAACCUCACCCGGCUCGGACACAGAAAGAAUCGACAGAUUGAUUGCUCUUUCUCGAUUCUGUGCGUUGUGGUGCAUGGCCGUUCUUAGUUGUUGGAGAAAUUUGUCCGGUUAAUUCUGAUAACAAAUGAGACUCCUCUAUGCUAUCUAGUUAUGUGACCCCCCAGCGGUCAGUGUUCAACUUCUUAGAGUGACUAGUGGCAUUCACCAAACACGAUUGAGCAAUAACAGGUCUGUGAUGCCCUUAGAUGUCCGUGGCUGCACGCAUGCUACACUGAAUGAAUCAGCAUGUGCCUACCCUUUGCGGACAAGUGUGGGUAACCGGCUGAACCCCAUUCAUGAUCAGGAUUGGGGAUGGAAAUUAUUUCCCAUGAACAAGGAAUUCCCAGCAAGUGUGGGUCGCAAACCUGCAUUUAUUAAGGUGCUGCACUUUGUAAACAAUGCCCUUCGCUACUACUGAUUGGAUGGUUUACUGAGUUCAUUGGAUCAGCCCUGCCAAUGUCAGCAACAGCCCUGGUGGAGCACCGACAGGAUGAUCAAACUUGACUAUCUAGAGGAAGUAAAAUUCGUAACACGUUUUAUGUUGGUGAACCUGUGGAAG